Molecule: ribosomal RNA, 520 nt
Filed under: uncultured bacterium
Lineage: Bacteria
Description: bacterial SSU rRNA
Rfam family: Bacterial small subunit ribosomal RNA
Source: RNAcentral
AGGACGAACGCUGGCGGCGUGCCUAAUACAUGCAAGUCGAACGGUCUUUCUAUGGAAGCUUGCUUCCACUGAAAAGAUAGUGGCGAACGGGUGAGUAACACGUGGGUAACCUGCCCAUAAGAGGGGGGAUAACAUCCGGAAACGGGUGCUAAUACCGCAUAGUUUUCUUGAUCGCAUGAUCGGGAAAGGAAAGACGGCCUUUGUGCUGUCGCUUAUGGAUGGACCCGCGGCGUAUUAGUUAGUUGGUGAGGUAACGGCUCACCAAGACGAUGAUACGUAGCCGACCUGAGAGGGUGAUCGGCCACAUUGGGACUGAGACACGGCCCAAACUCCUACGGGAGGCAGCAGUAGGGAAUCUUCCGCAAUGGACGAAAGUCUGACGGAGCAACGCCGCGUGAGUGAAAGAAGGUUUUCGGAUCGUAAAACUCUGUUGUCAGAGAAGAACAAGUUGGAGAGUAACUGCUCCAGCCUUGACGGUAUCUGACCAGAAAGCCACGGCUAACUACGUGCCAGCCGCCGC